Molecule: ribosomal RNA, 465 nt
Filed under: Vreelandella stevensii
Lineage: Bacteria; Pseudomonadati; Pseudomonadota; Gammaproteobacteria; Oceanospirillales; Halomonadaceae
Description: partial 16S ribosomal RNA
Rfam family: Bacterial small subunit ribosomal RNA
Source: RNAcentral
CCUACGGGGGGCUGCAGUGGGGAAUAUUGGACAAUGGGGGGAACCCUGAUCCAGCCAUGCCGCGUGUGUGAAGAAGGCCCUCGGGUUGUAAAGCACUUUCAGUGAGGAAGAACGCCUGGUGGUUAAUACCCAUCAGGAAAGACAUCACUCACAGAAGAAGCACCGGCUAACUCCGUGCCAGCAGCCGCGGUAAUACGGAGGUUGCGAGCGUUAAUCGGAAUUACUGGGCGUAAAGCGCGCGUAGGUGGCUUGAUAAGCCGGUUGUGAAAGCCCCGGGCUCAACCUGGGAACGGCAUCCGGAACUGUCAAGCUAGAGUGCAGGAGAGGAAGGUAGAAUUCCCGGUGUAGCGGUGAAAUGCGUAGAGAUCGGGAGGAAUACCAGUGGCGAAGGCGGCCUUCUGGACUGACACUGACACUGAGGUGCGAAAGCGUGGGUAGCAAACAGGAUUAGAUACCCCUGUAGUC